Oncorhynchus gorbuscha (pink salmon) is the source of this 856-nucleotide long non-coding RNA. RefSeq lists it as uncharacterized. The record is from RefSeq and is a predicted model, not a curated record. The transcript is spliced from 3 exons. NCBI's taxonomy places the organism in Eukaryota, Metazoa, Chordata, Actinopteri, Salmoniformes, Salmonidae.
GCAACAUCUGGCUAACGUACUUUGCUAAGAUGAACUCCUGUGCCAAAUUGUUCAUUUUGAUAGCCAUCGCAGGAGUUUGUGUUAUCUUGUAUUUGGCCACUUUGGAGGAACAUGAUACAACAGACCUGAAUUGUGGAAUGAGACCAGAGAGACCAUCAACGAUGAUGCCAUUUGACUAUGAUGAUUAUGGUGGUGGUCGGUUCGUUGGUGGCACUCCAAUUGACCCUAGUAUUUGGCCGUGGCAAGUCUCCAUCAUGCACCGUCCGACCGCAGCAGAUCCUUUUCAUCAUCACUGUGGAGGAGCCAUCAUCAGCCAGGACUGGAUACUGACAGCUGCCGUAUGUGUUCAUGCACCACAGCAUCGGUAUAUACCACAGCAUAUAUUAAGUCUACCGUUUAGCUACUUUAGCAGUUGUCUUUUUCCAAAAAAUUUCUUUGCCCUUUUUGUUGCAGCCUUUCAAGCAACCUUAUAGUCAAAGCUGGGACCACGGAUACAAACCACAAUGACGCGAACACACAGGAAGUACAAAUUGAGAGGAUAGUCCCGCACAAACUUUUUAAUCCUAUCACACUGAGAUACAACAUUGCACUUCUGAAGUUGAAACCCCCCCUUGUAUUCAACACCUUUGUGGAUGAAAUUUGCAUCCCAGAUAAUUCCAAUGUUGAAGAACAUCAGUAUGGUAUCUGCCACAUCACAGGCUAUGCAGGGCCCAAUGCAAACACCAGCAUUUUACAAGAAGCAGAAGUGAAGAAAAUUGGCAAUCCCAGGUGUAACAUGCCUACCUGGUGGAACUACAAAGUGGCUAGGGACAUGUUUUGUAUGUCUCAUCCCAGUGGCAUGGGUGGUCCUGAUGGU